RNA transcript from Mus musculus (house mouse), 1768 nucleotides. It is a transcript of the gene named predicted gene 9079, with no coding region annotated. The transcript has a single exon. Lineage: Eukaryota; Metazoa; Chordata; Mammalia; Rodentia; Muridae. The record is from RefSeq and is marked provisional.
GGGUGGGGGUGGAGGGCAGGGCUUCCUGGACAUCAACAUGGAGAUCGCAGGACCAGAUAAUAAAGGACUCUGUAAAGGAGAUCGAGAGUCUAGAGGGAAGUACAUGUUGUCAGCCCACAUGGAUGGGACUGACAAGUUCUGCUUUUACUAAUAGUCUGUCCACUAUGACUCCAAAAAUCAUAAUGUUCACCAUUGACAUUAGGGAGGCUCCCAAAGGCCAAGACAUGGAGACAGAAGCUCAUCAUAACAAGCUAGAAGUGAGUAAUGAACUGGCAGUGAUAAUGACCACUGUGAAGCACGAACAGGAGGAGUACAUGGAAGUCUGGGAGAGAAUACACAGAGCCAUCAAUGACAACACAAACAGCAGAGUGGUCCUUUGGUCCUUCUUCCAAUGACAACACAAACAGCAGAGUGGUCCUUUGGUCCUUCUUUGAAGCUCUUGUUGUAGUUGCCAUGACACUGGGACAGAUCUACUACAUGAAGAGAUUUUUGUGAAGCCCUAAGGGUUGUUUAAAAGGCCUUUUCCUGUUACCCCAAAUUCAUGAUUUACUCAUUUACCAAACACCUUGGUCAUCAUAAUGUCAUCAGUUUAUACAUUGUUCUUAUCUGAACAUUCAUGACUUAUGUUUCUUUGUGAUUAGUAGCUGUUGGGGAAAACCUAUUUGAGAAAGUCAGAGUGAAAAUUUGACAUUUGAUUGACCUGUAAUUCUUACUUGAAAGCAGACCCAUUAUACAGGUCCUUCCAAGAAUCCAGAGGCUGUUAAUGGUGUAUGGGACUAUGGUCUUUAUUAUGUUUUUACCUUUGGUUUUUAUAAUAAAAUGCAGGUUAUCCAGGAAGUAGCCCACAGCCUGACAAUACUUGUUAACUGACUUCAUUCAUCAGAGGCUCAUUUUGUUAUUACAGCAACAGCGAUCUGAAUCCUGACCCUUGUGGCCCUGCCUCAGGGCAGAGACCUGAUGGGGCAUGUUACCCGUGUGGUCACUCACACUUUGUCUUGAGUUUGAUGUUAAGACUUUUCUCAUCACUUCACCCUAAAGUUUUAUAUUGAACCUUAGAACUGAUUCACCUAUAACUGAAUUGACAUAAACAGCCAAUAACUUAGCUGUCUGUUGAAUCCAGUUUCCCAAGUGUCAGAACAGACUGCUGUUUCCCUUGAGCUGCAUAGUCUGUCUAUUGUUGGCACUUAGGAAGAGCGAAUUCCUCACCUGGAAACCUGCAUUUCUCAAAACAAAGGGUUAAGCCUCUGGGAUUGCUGGCAGUGAUAGGCAGCCACUGUUAUGUUUUUAGUCAGUGGCCUUUAGGCCCUGGUCUUCAGUGUCAGCACUAGGGUUUGUUUGUCCUCUGGGGUCUUUCUCUUCUGGCACAUGCCAGUUUUGUUUAUAUAAAGUGAAGAUAGAAUCUUCUCUUCAUGAUAGAAGAACAUUCUAUGUUAGGUUUAACGAAAGGUGCUCUGCUUUGGGUGUGGGUGGUCCACACCCAAUCUGAUAACUGUUAGUUACCUGGAUAUCUUAUUUUUCUUUUUGGAUCUUACAAGGGAAAAACUACAAAUAACAAGUUUUAUAAAUUUAAUUUAAAUUUGUUACAGGUUUUUAUGUUUAGGACAAAUAAUUUUUCAACCAUUAGUGAUAACUUUGCAACAGUUUGUUGGUAAGGUGACUCACCAUAGGGCAGCUGUUGUAUGCUAAUUUGUGUUUGUGUGUGUAUAUAUAUAUAUAUAUAUAUAUAUAUAUAAACACUUCAGAAUUGAAUUAAAAUAUGUAAAUUUAA